Molecule: small nucleolar RNA, 109 nt
Filed under: Ananas comosus (pineapple)
Lineage: Eukaryota; Viridiplantae; Streptophyta; Magnoliopsida; Poales; Bromeliaceae
Description: Small nucleolar RNA Z103
Rfam family: Small nucleolar RNA Z103
About the family: This family consists of several snoRNA Z103 sequences which are members of the C/D class of snoRNA which contain the C (UGAUGA) and D (CUGA) box motifs. This family seems to be found exclusively in plants.
Source: Rfam by way of RNAcentral
GUGGAGAUGAUGAUCCUUUCCCCAGAUGAUCGACUCUGAUUAUAACGUGCGAUCGUUUUUCAUCUUCCUCUUGAUUUGAGGAGGAGAUUAAGCCAGGAAUCUGAUCCAU